GAGUCUGCUACUGAUCAUCUUCUUCUGCUUUUGGGUCACAUUUCCCUGCCCCUCUGUAAGAUUUAUAAUGUUUUUCCUGCUUCUUGGUGGACACCAUGGAUAGCACAUGGGAUCAUCUUUUUCGGAAGAGCAUUCUGUUCUACCAGGUGGUAAAUUCCCAGAAACCUCGUCGUGAGCCUGAAGAAGAGAAGAAUUCAUUUUAACAUCUUUUGGAGGGGACAUCUGUUGACAAGAAAUUCCUUCAUUUUUAUAUGAGACAUUUUUAAUUCUCCUUCACUUUUGAAGAAGAAUUUCUCUGGGAACAGAAUUAUAGGACGGUCCUCAAGCUUUUGGAAAUGUCAUGGUGAGUUGUCUUGGAAAGCUCUGAGUGCACUUGGAGGCCAUAUUUCCUGUGAAAACGUGAGCAACGCUGGCAGGUGCAAGUGUCGAUGAUCUGACCGUGGAGUUGCUAGUCAGCCCUUGUACUUAUGAACCCAGAUUUAACUGAGAUGCUUACUCACCUCCAUGAAGCCUUGGAAUUAAAGCAAACU
Long non-coding RNA from Suricata suricatta (meerkat), 530 nucleotides. RefSeq lists it as uncharacterized. The record is from RefSeq and is a predicted model, not a curated record. Lineage: Eukaryota; Metazoa; Chordata; Mammalia; Carnivora; Herpestidae. The transcript has 3 exons.